UGUUGUUGGUUGUUUUUUUUUCAAAUGAUCUUUGGAUUGAUGUGAAAUGCUAAGCACAUGUUUGUUUUGUGAAGUGAUAAAGUAGUUUCACUUUUCUGUCUACUUAGUAACAAUCUGGCUUGUUUUCCCUCCUUUCUUUCUGGCUUGUGCUGAUUUGUUUGGAUCUGAUUGUUCUGUUUUUUGUUUUUCUCUUUGAGGAUCCUGGAGCCAAGGUGGAAGUGGAGUAUGGUGGUAAAGUAGAAGUUUGCUAGUUAUAUAUUUUCAUGAUUUGCUGUGGGGACAACAUGUAUUCUGGGUUGUGUGGGAAAUUAUGUAGGCCCUAUUACCUGUUUUCUCUCUUCUAAGUUACAGGUUAUGAGGAGCCUCUACAGUCCAGGACGUCAACUUCAACGGACCUGCAACACUGGGCCCAAUUGUGUCUUUAGGGUAGUGUUGUGUAGUUCAGUUCUAUGUUGAUUUGUCUUUGAACCUUUGCAGAAAAGCGACAUCACAGGAUCCUGGAGCUAAGGUAGAAGUGGAGUAUGGAAUGGUGGUAAAGUAGAAGUGAGGUAUUUUUUUCUACUUUUAUAUAUUUUUAUGGUUUGCUUUGGGGACAACACGGGUGUAAUGCGUUAUGUGGGAAAUUGUGUAGUACCCCUGCCCUGUUUGUCGUCUUUUCUAAGGUACAGUUUGAGGAGCCUCCACAGCCCAGGAGGUCGACUUCAACGGACCUGCAACACUGGGCCCAAUUGUGUCUUUAGGGAAAUGUUGUGUAGUUGUAUGUUUUGCUCUUGGAACUUUUGCAGAAAAGCGACAUCACAGGAUCCUGGAGCAAAGGUGGAAGUGGAGUAAGGAAUGGUGGUAAAGUAAAAGUGAGGUGCAAGUUAUUCAUCUCCAGUCCAGGACGUCUACUUCAACGGACCUGCAACACUGGGCCCAAUUGUGUCUUUAGGGAAGUGUUGUGUAGUUGUAUGUUUUGCUCUUUUAACCUUUGCAGAAAAGCGACAUCACAGGAUCCUGGAGCCAAGGUAGAAGUGGAGUUAAGAGUAGUGGUAAAGUAGAAGUGAGGUAUUUUUGCUACUUGUAUAUUUUCAUGAUUUGCUGUGGGGAUAACGCAUGUAUUAUGGGUUAUGUGGGAAAUUGUGUAGUCCCCCCUGCCCCGUUUGUCGCCUUUUCUAAGGUACAGGUUAUGAGGAGCCUCCACAGCCCAGGACGUCGACUUCAACGGACCUGCAACACUGGGCCCAAUUGUGUCUUUAGGGAAAUGUUGUGUACUUCACUGUUUUUCUCUUUGAACCAUUGCAGAAAAGCUGCAUCACAGGAUCCUGGAGCCAAGGUAGAAGUGGAGUCAGGAAUGGUGGUAAAGUAGAAGUGAGGUAAUUUUGCUACUUAUAUUAUUUCAUCAUGAAGUCCCUAUGCCCUGCUUGUCUUUUUUCUUAGGUGCAGGUUAUGAGAAGCCUCUACAGUCCAGGACGUUGAUGUCAAAGUGGAGUCAGGAAUGGUGGUAAAGUAGAAGUGAGGUAUUUUUUGUUUCUUAUAUAUCAUCAUGAAGUCCCUAUGCAGUGUUCUCCUCUUUUCUCGGGUACAGGUUAUGUGCAGCCUCUACAGUCCAGGAUGCCCCAUCUUGACACAAUUUGGGCCCAGUGUUCAACGUUUAAGAUAAGCUACAUCACAGGAUCCUGGAGCCAAGAGAGAAGUGGAGUCAGGAAUGGUGGUAAAGUAGAAGGGAAGUACUUUUGCUACUUAUAUAUCAUCAUGAAGUCCCUAUGCACUGUUUGUCGUCUUUUCUUAGGUACAGGUUCUGCACAGCCUCUCCCUUCAAGGAUGCCCCAUCUUGACACAAUUUGGGCCCAGUGUUCAACGUUGCAUUGAUGUAUUGUAGUAUUGUUGUUUUGCUCUUAUAACUUGCAGAUAAGCUACAUCACAGGAUCCUGGAGCCAAGAGAGAAGUGGAGUCAGGAAUGGUGGUAAAGUAGAAGUGAGGUAUUUUUGCUAGUUAUAUAUUUUCAUCAUGAAGUCACUAUGCCCUGUUUGUCGUCUUUUCUCCUUUCUUAGGUACAGGUUCUGCACAGCCUCUACAGUCCAGGAUACCCUAGCUUGACACAAUUUGGGCCCAGUGUUCAACGUUGCAUUGAUGUAUUGUAGUAUUGUUGUUUUGCUCUUGUAACUUGCAGAUAAGCUACAUCACAGGAUCCUGGAGCCAAGACUGAAGUGGAGUCAGGAAUGGUGGUAAAGUAGAAGUGAGGUGAGGUAUUUUUGCUAGUUAUAUAUUUUCAUCAUGAAGUCACUAUGCCCUGUUUGUCGUCUUUUCUCCUUUCUUAGGUACAGGUUCUGCACAGCCUCUACAGUCCAGGAUACCCUAGCUUUGACACAAUUUGGGCCCAGUGUUCAACGUUAAUGUAUUGAAGUAUUGUAGUAGUGGUGGUGUUUUGCUCUUGUAACUUGCAGAUAAGCAACAUCACAGGAUCCUGGAGCCUAAACCGAAGUGGAGUCAGGAAUGGUGGUAAUGUAGACUUCUGGUUUUGUUUACCACAUUACAAGAGCAUUAUUUAGUUCCUACAUGUUUCAACAAACAUGUAGGUAACAGAAAACACAACAUGUAUUCAAAGCAUCAUUGAUCCCUAAAUGUGGUGAUUCAAUAAUAAUGAUGCCUUUUAAUAUUAAAUGGUAACACUGAUACGCUGUUGUAAUGUGGGUUUUGCUUUACCUUCCAUGUAGAGUCAAAAAGUAAAAGACACCGGUAAUGGCACUCCUAGUUUACUUGGACGGGGUUCAAUUCCCUGCGGUGUCCUGCUGAGAUUGACAAAAACAUGAUGGUGAAUGUUAAAUUCAAAAACUUGUACAAAACAGUAAUGAUAAACUUGAUGAUGAAAGAGUGUUUUGAAGUUCCCCAGUUUCUUACCUUUUUCCAGCUGCCCCCUGUUCUCUGCCUGGAGGCCCUGCCAACAUCUGUUAACCGCUCUGAGGCCCCACUCGGUGGCCCCCUGCAACGCCUGUUCUUCGCUCGGUGACUCGACUGACUCAAGCCUCUUGUCCAACUCCUGCUCCUUUGUUUACUGGGUCUUAAGGAGGCCCCAGUCCCCCCCCUCCAAAGAAUCUCUCUGGUGGGGAUAUUUGUCUUUUUCCCUGUGUGAAGAGCUUGUUUUAUUUUGUGGUUGUUGCAUCUAGUGUCUGGUUUUACUGUCUGUGUUCCUUCCAUUGUGAUUGUGUGCUGAGUGUUUCCACCUGUGUCUUGUUAGCCUCACCUGUUUUAUGACCCCCUGUGAGUAUUUAGUCUCUGUGUAUCCUCCCUUCUGUGUCUAUGUUCUGCUCCCUGUGAUACUGUAGUGUUUUAUUUGAUGUAAAUACAUUUUUAGUUUGUUCAAUAAAACCUAUUA
This is a long non-coding RNA of Notolabrus celidotus (New Zealand spotty), 3355 nucleotides long. RefSeq lists it as uncharacterized. The transcript is spliced from 3 exons. Lineage: Eukaryota; Metazoa; Chordata; Actinopteri; Labriformes; Labridae. The record is from RefSeq and is a predicted model, not a curated record.